Zalophus californianus (California sea lion) is the source of this 4134-nucleotide long non-coding RNA. RefSeq lists it as uncharacterized. NCBI's taxonomy places the organism in Eukaryota, Metazoa, Chordata, Mammalia, Carnivora, Otariidae. The transcript has 4 exons. The record is from RefSeq and is a predicted model, not a curated record.
AUCCCCUGUCUAUAGUCACAUUUUUUUCUCUCAAUUGAUGCUUAAAAUUAUUUUGCAAGUUGGAAAAAAAUGCAGUUUUACUUUCAUUUGCACCAAAUUUAAUAGAUUAAUUAGGAGAGAAUAGAUCUCUUUAAAAUUGAGUCAUCUUAUCCAACUGCAAGUUUUAACUGAGGUGUUACCAGCUUAAGAAGUGAGACAUAUUAAAUGCUUCAAUACCUGACAUUUCUAUAUCAAUCCAAAUUCUUGUGCUUGUUUCUCAUUUCUGUGGACUUCGUUCUUCAAAAGUACUGCAUGUUUCAUAAGCAAGGACCAAAGAGACUUUGUCUACAGGUGGUGAACAUGUGUACAAGAGGAUCAUCAAUACCUUCUGCGGUGGUACCAUGCACAGAAUAAUGACUCAAUUGCUGUCAUUUAUUUCCCCUUUUUGAAGCUCAUUGCAUCUUUAUAUCUCAAAAGGCACAAGUUUUAUAUAUGUAUCACCAGGAAUAGAAGUGGUCUGCUUUUUGGCAAGUAAUUGCCCAGCGUGUUAAGUACUUCUUUGUUCUCUGAGUAUAUCUUAUGCUUUCCUCUAUUGUUAUUUACCUCAUUGAUUUUUUUUUCUCUAUGUUUUACUUUAGAAGUGGGAGUAAGAUUUGUAUGUGGUAAAUGUAGUUAAUGCAAUCCUAUGGACACCUUGGUCACACUAAAGCAUUAUAACCAGGCUUUCUCACAAGCCAAGUACCUCCCACCUGCCAGUUGGAUACCAUUUGUAAAAUACUUUGUUCCUCAUUUGAAUCAUGAGCCCACAGUUUUCAGAGAGGUCCCAAAGAAGAUCCUCUUCAAACAUUUGUGUUACCUGAAAAUAGACCAUUUGUAGUUUUCCUUUUUAUGGAACCUAGUAGGUCUUCCUCUAGAACAGGAUCUGAGCCUGACCAUAGUUGACGAUUUCCUUAGUGUUCAAAUUUAAGACUCAGAUGCUACCACAAUUCUGGUUAUGUAAGGAAGAGCCAGACUCUUGCACUGACAUUUUCAGGCAUGGUGAUGCCAUCCUGUAGAACACACGGUUCUAUCAUUUUAUUGCUGUUACUGGAAUUGGACCAAAAAACACAAGCAACAAAGGUAUUUCACUUUCAUUCACAUUAUCUUGAUUUUCAUUCAUUUUCUAUUUAACCUAAAUGGGCUUAGUAUAGAUGGCUGUGUUUAUUGGAAGUUUUAAUUGACCAUUCUGGAACAUAAACUGCACUCCCAUCAGAGAACUAUGAAGUGCAUUGUCCAACCUGUCUCAGUAGACAAGUUUGACCCCUAGUACAUUGAAUCAGGGCCAUAAGGAAUGAAUGGGUUAUUAAACAAUUUAGAGCAAAAUGUGGUCAUUCAUUCUCCCAUCUUUCAUUCCUACUUCCUAAGUGUGUCAAGAGUUAAUCAGUUGUGCUAGUGGUCUAUAACAUUUCUAAGCUUAUAUAAGUUAUCUGGAAUUUAUUUUAUAUAUAUGACAUCAUUAUGGUUUUACAACUGUAUUUUUUCUUUAUUAUAUUGUGGACAUAUUUCUAAACCAAUAAAUGUAGCUUACCUACAAACUUUUCAUUGGAUGUAAAGUAAAUAUCAUAAUGGGUUUAUCCAUUUCUCUAUCUUGGGAAAUGCAGAUUAAAUGUUUAUUUUUGUUGCUGCAUAAAGUGUUUUAAUGUAUAUAAUUAUGUUUUAUAUAUAUACAUUAUAAUAUAUAUAAUAUUAUAUUAAAGCACUUGGGAUUCUAUUUCUGUAAGAUAGAUUUUUAGUUGUGGCAUUGUUGGAUCAUCAGUUCUGCAUACUUUUGAUUUCAGUAGAUACUGUGAAAUUGCCAGCACACAGCUGUGGUGUCAUGGCAGUGCAUAAUGUUCAUAAAAAUCUGUACAGGGUAUAUAUUAUCAAUCCUUUAAAUUUUUAACCAAUCUAAUAGGUGAAAACCAUAUUUUUAACUUAAGUAUAAUUUAAACAGUAAAUGGCCAUGGAUUAAAAAAAAAGACCAAAAUGGGUAUAUUAUUUAUUUAAGAAAGAAAAAAAAACAAUAGUACCCAUUCCCUCCAAUCACAAGGGUCAUCCUGUUUGUUUAGAGGUAGAAACCAUUGACCUUUUCUCUGUGCAGUGCUUCUUGGAGGUACAUACACUUCUUUUUUUUUUAAGAUUUUAUAUAUUUGUCAGAGAGAGGGAGAGAACACAAGCAGGGGGAGCAGCAAGCAGAAGGAGAGGGAGAAGCAGGCUCCCCAUUGAGCAGGGAGCCCUAUGCUGGGCUGGAUCAAUCCCAGGAUCCUGACCAGAGUUGAUGUUUUCCUAAGUGCUCAAGUUUAAGACUCAGACUCAUGACCUGAGCAGAAGGCAGAUGCUUAACCAACUGAGCCAUCCAGGUGCCCCUGUACAUAAAGUUCUUAAGCAUACCUUAUACCAGUGUGUUUUUUGUCUUUGUUUUACCUUUUAUGUUUGAAACAAUUUUAAAUUUAGAGUGGCAAGAAACAUAUAGAGACCCCCUCAGACACUCUUACCCAGACUUUUUCUCUACAUUGUUUUUUUCUUUUUUUCUUAUUUUCCUGCUCUUCCUCCUUCAUCCCUCCUUCCCUCUCUUUUUCUAUCUCUUCUCUCUCUCUCUCCCCCACCUUAUGUUGUUCUUACUUUAUUAAAUAUUUGUGAAUAAGGUAGAGAUAUUAUGUCACUGUAACCCAAAAUACCUCAGCAUUCACUUCCUGAGAGCCUGCAAAUCCUCUUAUCUUAACUCUGGUACAGUUUUUUAAAUCAGGAAAUUUAUUAGCAGUACUAACAUAUUAUAUUAAUAUACAGUCUAUUAUUAGAUUUCACCAGUUCUAAUACUGUUCUUUAUGGCCAUUUCUUUCAUCCUUUAGGACCUGGAAAAAGAUUCUGUAUUGUAUUCAAGUGUCAUGUUUCUCUAGUCUCAUUUAAUCUGGAGCAGUUUCUCAUUCAUUUUUGUCUUCUGAUGACAUCAGUAAUUCUUGAAAAAGUAUUGGCUAAUAGUUUUUGAAGGAUCUCUCAAAUUUGAAUUUUUUUCAGCUUCCUCCUGAAUAGGUUUAGGUUAUGCAAAUUUGGCAAGAAUAUUUCAUAACUUAUGUCUGUCUACCUCAGUGAUUCACAACAGGUGGAAAAUAUCAUUUUAUCCUAUUAUUAAUGGCAUUAAUUUUUAUCACUUGGUUCAGUUGAUAUCCACUAGAUUUAUCCACUUUAAAGUUAACAUUCUUUUUUAAUUAGUAAAUAUUCUGUAGGGAAAUCAUUUGAAACUAUGUAAAUUUCCUAUUUCUCAUCAAACUUUUAUGCUAGUAGUUUUAGCAAUUACAGAUGAUUCUUAGGGAGAAUCAUUGGUGAUUUUUCAAAAUCUCUGUUACUGGUGUUAGUUACUACAUAUUAGUUGGUAUUCUCGUAGGAGGAAUUUGUGCAUAAUGGCUUGUGGGAAAUGUUCAACAAAGUGUUUACUGAAAAUAGCGAAAAAAUGAGAUGGUGGACAAAGCAGGGAAGAGUUAAAGGGUUUAAUGAAGUUUAUGUCUAACUAUGGAGUGAAAUGGAGGUGGCGGGUAGAACUUUUUUAGAGCUGGUUGAUUAAAGGCAUUCACAUGGCAGAAGAGCAUGUUUUUGUUGUUGUUUUUUAAAGAUUUUAUUUAUUUAUUUGACACAGAGAGAGAGCGCGCAUGAGCAGGGAGAGUGGCAGGCAGAGGGAGAAGGAGAAGCAGACUCUCUUCAGAGCAGGGGGACCCUGAUGUGGGACUUGAUCCCAGGACCCCAGAAUCAUGGCCUGAGCCAAAGGCAGUCGCUUAACCACCCAGGCACUUGAGAAGAGCAUGUUUUUAGCAAUAAGUUCCAGCAAGGGAAUAUGAUGGUGCCAUCAUUAUUGGCAAGGUGUUCAACGGUGGUUUUUAAAUUUUUUUUGAACUGUGAGGCAUGGCAGUGGUGUCCAGGUUCAGAUGCACUUAAUAUUCUAUGUAGAUGGUAAAUCAACAAUGUUCCUCUUUUUCUUCUUCAUUGCUUUAAGUUUCCAUAACCCUAUACAGAGUUUGAGACUGAUGGUGAAGGAACUUUAUUUGAGGUGCUAUCUAAAGAUGAACACUCAGCUUUCUGAGUAUUUUUUUAAAGAUUUUAUUUAUUCAUGAAAGACACAGAGAGAGAGAGAGAGGAAGAGGGAGA